UCCGUAGGUGAACCUGCGGAAGGAUCAUUACCGAGUGCGGGUCCUUUGGGCCCAACCUCCCACCCGUGUCUAUUGUACCCUGUUGCUUCGGCGGGCCCGCCGCUUGUCGGCCGCCGGGGGGAUGCUCGCUGAUAGCCGCUCCGUGCCCGCCGGAGACACCAACACGAACACUGUCUGAAAUCGUGAAGUCUGAGUCGAUUGUUUUCAAUCAGUUAAAACAUGCCUCGUGAGAUCUCUUGGUUCCGGCAUCGAUGAAGAACGCAGCGAAAUGCGAUAACUAAUGUGAAUUGCAGAAUUCAGUGAAUCAUAGGCUCCGUGAACGCACAUUGCGCCCCCUGGUAUUCCGGGGGGCAUGCCUGUCCGAGCGAUGCCUGCUGAGGAAAGCCCGGCUUGUGUGUUGGGUCGCCGUCCCCCUGUCUGGGAUGCCUGCUGCGAAAGGCAGCGGCGGCACCGCGUCCGAUCCUCGAGCGUAUGGGGCUUUGUCACAUGCUCUGUAGGAUUGGCCGGCGCCUGCCGACAACUCCAUGCGCUCGCUGAUGGUUGACCUCGGAUCAGGUAGGGAUACCCGCUGAACUUAAGCAUAUCAAUAAGCGGA
This 595-nucleotide ribosomal RNA is filed under the name uncultured fungus. RNAcentral's name for it is "eukaryotic LSU rRNA". The stretch from base 217 to 370 matches the Rfam family "5.8S ribosomal RNA". Lineage: Eukaryota; Fungi. The record is from RNAcentral.